UACGUAGGGUGCAAGCGUUAAUCGGAAUUACUGGGCGUAAAGCGUGCGCAGGCGGUUUUGUAAGUCUGUCGUGAAAACCCCGGGCUCAACCUGGGAAUUGCGAUGGAGACUGCAAGGCUUGAAUCUGGCAGAGGGGGGUAGAAUUCCACGUGUAGCAGUGAAAUGCGUAGAGAUGUGGAGGAACACCGAUGGCGAAGGCAGCCCCCUGGGUCAAGAUUGACGCUCAUGCACGAAAGCGUGGGGAGCAAACAGG
RNAcentral lists this ribosomal RNA (253 nucleotides) under uncultured bacterium. Its description in RNAcentral is "partial 16S ribosomal RNA". It matches the Rfam family "Bacterial small subunit ribosomal RNA", at positions 524 to 776 of the family's 1533-position model. The record is from RNAcentral.